Molecule: long non-coding RNA, 225 nt
Filed under: Ananas comosus (pineapple)
Lineage: Eukaryota; Viridiplantae; Streptophyta; Magnoliopsida; Poales; Bromeliaceae
Description: long non-coding RNA (ACOM_LNC003462)
Source: RNAcentral
CUAACGGAUUUGGGUUUUGAUCCACGAUCUUUGAGAAAAAAAGAGUUUAUUGGAUUUGUAGAUAUAUGUAUAUGUGGUUUUUGGAAAAUUGGAGAGGGGAUGGGUUUCGUCGCAAAUCGACGACCGUAUCAGGUGAAAUAAAAUCAUGAGUUUGAUGACUUGGUCGUGCUGAACGCGCUGGCGCAAUCCGUUUGAAAAUUCAAUGGGCCGAUCUCUGGAUAUCGC